Salmo salar (Atlantic salmon) is the source of this 669-nucleotide long non-coding RNA. RefSeq lists it as uncharacterized. NCBI's taxonomy places the organism in Eukaryota, Metazoa, Chordata, Actinopteri, Salmoniformes, Salmonidae. The record is from RefSeq and is a predicted model, not a curated record.
CAGGAGAAGGCAAGUGGUGAUCACUAAGCAGCUAAAGGAGGAUGUGCAGGGAUGAGACCCAUGGACCACAGCGUGCUGAAAUAUUGUCUCUUCUCCCUAUUCUUGCUAACAGUAUCUGCAUCAGGCACUCUAUCCAACGCAGCCAUUACUACUAUCCAAACACUAUCUAAUACAGCCAGUGCAAACCAACCAUCCAACACAGCCACUUCAUCCAGUGUAACCACACCAUCCUGUACGACCCGUCGAUGUCUGGCCAGCAUGCUGAUUGCGAAAGAAGCUCUGAGUCAGCCACAGUCUCCAUCAUGCAUCUCAAUUAUCCGUGUGCCGUUAAUAGUGUACGAAACUCUGUCUGUCGACACACAAAACCUCUGCUUCGAGAGUCGUCUGGAAGUCCUGCUGUCUUGGGAAGACCCUGACUUAUCAUGGGCCAAUCAGUCUAUCAUCAUGAUAUGGUGGUCCUGCCUGUCAGCAAAAUCUGGACUCCUGAACUCCAUGUGACUAAUGGAGUGCAAACAACGAUGAAGCACGGCAACAAGGAUUUGCUGGUGCACAGCAACGGGACUAUAGAGCACAUGGUCAUCAUCAACACUGUGGUGGGCUGUGAGGUCAAACUGUACAAUUACCCCUUCGCUUCAGAUUUCUGUGCCAUCGGAAUCAAUGUAUGGGCAC